UGGGCGUAAAGCGCGCGUAGGCGGCUUUGUAAGUUAGGGGUGAAAUCCCCGGGCUUAACCUGGGAACUGCGCUUGUGACUGCACGGCUAGAGUACGGCAGAGGGGGGUGGAAUUCCACGUGUAGCAGUGAAAUGCGUAGAGAUGUGGAGGAACACCGAUGGCGAAGGCAGCCCCCUGGGCCGAUACUGACGCUCAUGCACGAAAGCGUGGGGAGCAAACAG
Molecule: ribosomal RNA, 221 nt
Filed under: uncultured bacterium
Lineage: Bacteria
Description: partial 16S ribosomal RNA
Rfam family: Bacterial small subunit ribosomal RNA
Source: RNAcentral